AUUGAACGCUGGCGGCAUGCCUUACACAUGCAAGUCGAACGGCAGCACGGGAGCAAUCCUGGUGGCGAGUGGCGAACGGGUGAGUAAUAUAUCGGAACGUGCCCAGUAGUGGGGGAUAACGUAGCGAAAGUUACGCUAAUACCGCAUACGAUCUAAGGAUGAAAGCGGGGGGAUCGCAAGACCUCGCGCGAUUGGAGCGGCCGAUAUCAGAUUAGGUAGUUGGUGGGGUAAAGGCUCACCAAGCCAACGAUCUGUAGCUGGUCUGAGAGGACGACCAGCCACACUGGGACUGAGACACGGCCCAGACUCCUACGGGAGGCAGCAGUGGGGAACUUUUGGACAAUGGGCGCAAGCCUGAUCCAGCAAUGCCGCGUGCAGGAUGAAGGCCUUCGGG
Molecule: ribosomal RNA, 394 nt
Filed under: uncultured bacterium
Lineage: Bacteria
Description: bacterial SSU rRNA
Rfam family: Bacterial small subunit ribosomal RNA
Source: RNAcentral